Molecule: ribosomal RNA, 1123 nt
Filed under: uncultured bacterium
Lineage: Bacteria
Description: bacterial SSU rRNA
Rfam family: Bacterial small subunit ribosomal RNA
Source: RNAcentral
AUUGAUUUUAUGCUUGCAUAAAUGAUUUUUGGAUUCGGAGCGAGUGGCGAACUGGUGAGUAACACGUGGGUAACCUGCCCCGCAGCGGGGGAUAACAUUUGGAAACAAGUGCUAAUACCGCAUAAUUAGUUGGAACCGCAUGGUUCCAACUUGAAAGAUGGCUCUGCUAUCACUUUGGGAUGGACCCGCGCCGUAUUAGUUAGUUGGUGAGAUAAAAGCCCACCAAGACGAUGAUACGUAGCCGACCUGAGAGGGUAAUCGGCCACAUUGGGACUGAGACACGGCCCAGACUCCUACGGGAGGCAGCAGUAGGGAAUCUUCCACAAUGGACGAAAGUCUGAUGGAGCAACGCCGCGUGAGUGAUGAAGGUUUUCGGAUCGUAAAACUCUGUUGUUAAAGAAGAACAAGUGUUAGAGUAACUGUUAACACUUUGACGGUAUUUAACCAGAAAGCCACGGCUAACUACGUGCCAGCAGCCGCGGUAAUACGUAGGUGGCAAGCGUUGUCCGGAUUUAUUGGGCGUAAAGCGAGCGCAGGCGGUUUUGUAAGUCUGCUGUGAAAGCCCUCAGCUCAACUGAGGAAGUGCAGUGGAAACUACAAAACUUGAGUACAGAAGAGGAAAGUGGAACUCCAUGUGUAGCGGUGAAAUGCGUAGAUAUAUGGGAGAACACCAGUGGCGAAGGCGGCUUUCUGGUCUGUUACUGACGCUGAGGCUCGAAAGCAUGGGUAGCGAACAGGAUUAGAUACCCUGGUAGUCCAUGCCGUAAACGAUGAAUACUAGGUGUUGGAGGGUUUCCGCCCUUCAGUGCCGCAGCUAACGCAUUAAGUAUUCCGCCUGGGGAGUACGACCGCAAGGUUGAAACUCAAAGGAAUUGACGGGGGCCCGCACAAGUGGUGGAGCAUGUGGUUUAAUUCGAUGCUACGCGAAGAACCUUACCAGCUCUUGACAUCUUCUGCCAACCCAAGAGAUUGGGCGUUCCCUUCGGGGACAGAAUGACAGGUGGUGCAUGGUUGUCGUCAGCUCGUGUCGUGAGAUGUUGGGUUAAGUCCCGCAACGAGCGCAACCCUUAUUAUUAGUUGCCAGCAUUUAGUUGGGCACUCUAGUGAGACUGCCGGUGAUAAA